GAUGAACGCUGGCGGCGUGCCUAAUACAUGCAAGUCGAGCGAACAGACGAGGAGCUUGCUCCUCUGACGUUAGCGGCGGACGGGUGAGUAACACGUGGAUAACCUACCUAUAAGACUGGGAUAACUUCGGGAAACCGGAGCUAAUACCGGAUAAUAUAUUGAACCGCAUGGUUCAAUAGUGAAAGACGGUUUUGCUGUCACUUAUAGAUUGAUCCGCGCCGCAUUAGCUAGUUGGUAAGGUAACGGCUUACCAAGGCGACGAUGCGUAGCCGACCUGAGAGGGUGAUCGGACACACUGGAACUGAGACACGGUCCAGACUCCUACGGGAGGCAGCAGUAGGGAAUCUUCCGCAAUGGGCGAAAGCCUGACGGAGCAACGCCGCGUGAGUGAUGAAGGUCUUCGGAUCGUAAAACUCUGUUAUUAGGGAAGAACAAAUGUGUAAGUACCUAUGCACGUCUUGACGGUACCUAAUCAGAAAGCCACGGCUAACUACGUG
Molecule: ribosomal RNA, 497 nt
Filed under: uncultured bacterium
Lineage: Bacteria
Description: partial 16S ribosomal RNA
Rfam family: Bacterial small subunit ribosomal RNA
Source: RNAcentral